GUGGGUAUAGCUCAGCAGGUUAGAGCGCCAGGUUGUGGCCCUGGAGGUCGCCGGUUCGAUCCCGGCUACUCACCCCA
Molecule: transfer RNA, 77 nt
Filed under: Bacillota bacterium
Lineage: Bacteria; Bacillati; Bacillota
Also listed under: 1 other name
Description: Firmicutes bacterium (anaerobic digester metagenome) tRNA-His
Rfam family: tRNA
About the family: Transfer RNA (tRNA) molecules are approximately 80 nucleotides in length. Their secondary structure includes four short double-helical elements and three loops (D, anti-codon, and T loops).
Source: RNAcentral